Cordylochernes scorpioides is the source of this 74-nucleotide non-coding RNA. NCBI's taxonomy places the organism in Eukaryota, Metazoa, Arthropoda, Arachnida, Pseudoscorpiones, Chernetidae. The record is from the annotation of a GenBank genome assembly.
GCUAGGGUAGCCUAGUGGACAUGGCAUCUGCCCGGUAAGCGGAAGGUUGUGGGUUCGAUUCCCGCCCCUGGACA